UGAGGCAGGAGAAUUGCUUGAACCCAGGAGGUGGAGGUUGCAGUGAGCCGAGAUUGUGCCACUGUACUCCAGCCUGGGUGACAGAGAGAGACUC
MicroRNA precursor from Macaca nemestrina (pig-tailed macaque), 94 nucleotides. The record is from Ensembl. NCBI's taxonomy places the organism in Eukaryota, Metazoa, Chordata, Mammalia, Primates, Cercopithecidae.